RNAcentral lists this long non-coding RNA (1221 nucleotides) under Oryctolagus cuniculus (rabbit). RNAcentral's name for it is "lncRNA (ENSOCUG00000033926.1)". Lineage: Eukaryota; Metazoa; Chordata; Mammalia; Lagomorpha; Leporidae. The record is from RNAcentral.
AUGGACCUCCGGAGCUGCUGCCAAGCCUGUUGCAGUAGGGGCAAGGAAAGCCAGGCUCUUGUCCUCAAGGAACUUCCCUUCCAAGCUUUCUGGAUCCACCCUCUCAUCACAGAUGCUACUGGGGGAGACUUGAGUUCAAUCUUCAGGAAUGUACUUCUGUUUCUCUCAAUGUGAAUGAAUAUUGAUGAGGAUCCCAAGUCUGGACAUGCUGGUACACAGCAGAAUUUGUAAGUAGAUACCAAAUAUGAAAAUACUCUCAUGUAUGGUAGAAUUUUUAAUUAUUAAAAAUUACACUCUGCUAAAAGGAUGUCUAGGCUCCAAUUUGCUUUUUCACUCUCCACAUCUCCACAAACCUUCAUAUUGUUUGACAGAGUGUUUCAUGACUGCUGCCUGUAAGUGCGAAAAGUCAGGAUGAGAGUUCACAGCAGGUUGAUGGCCUGGAGACGAGGAUUCUGUCUGAGGACAUUUCAAAGUUGUAAAGGUAUUAUUCUCACAUGGAGUUAUUUCUCAGUGGGUGUGAGCAACAGCUACUCAUCAAGCUGGUGUAGUGUGAAAUAGAGUUUCCUGAAAAAUGAUGUGCAGACAUAUGCAGAAAGCCACAUGCUUAGUACAUGCACAGCCUGCGUGCCUAACUUCCAAGUGUUGGAAUAUUUGCCAUGAUGUGAGCUAAAAUGCAAAAGUCCCCAUUGGAAAUAUCCCAGGGAGAGGCACAGCUUGGAAUUAUCACCAACCCGUUGGGUUCAAGGAAGGCAUGUGUUGAAGGACAAAAAGUGAAGAUCAUAACUGUGCUGGGAAGGGAGAUCUGAUGAGAUAGGAGGAACUUGUCCUUUUGUGAGACAAGGAAGUCUUUCUAGAGUACUGGAAGACCCAGCUCUGCUGGGAAAGCUGUUUUGUACAUCCUGUAUUGAACGUGUCACAGUUAGGUGUUAUUAACCUGAAUGAAGAGAUUGCCAUCAGAGGAACCCCAUUCUUGCAUUGGGGUAUGUCUGCUGAAGAAGUAUCUGCCCAAGCUGAUACACAGUUCCCUGGAUCUGGGGCAUUAUUAAUGUUUUAGAUUUGUGAGAACCUUUUCAUCAAAGAGCUUGAAUGGAGCCUACACAUUUACAUGAGUAUUUUUCUCAACUGCAUGGUUCUCCUCAUGACUUCUUCUGAGUGCACAGUAAGGAGUGGAACAGUUAGAAGAGUGGAUAAUACACAAAUAAAACGAUAGGACUGGAGUCA